UACAGAGGGGGCAAGCGUUGUUCGGAAUUACUGGGCGUAAAGGGCGCGUAGGCGGCCUUCUAAGUCGAACGUGAAAUCCCCGGGCUCAACCCGGGAACUGCGUCCGAGACUGAAAGGCUUGAAUCCGGGAGAGGGAUGUGGAAUUCCAGGUGUAGCGGUGAAAUGCGUAGAUAUCUGGAGGAACAUCGGUGGCGAAGGCGGCAUCCUGGACCGGUAUUGACGCUGAGGCGCGAAAGCCAGGGGAG
Molecule: ribosomal RNA, 245 nt
Filed under: uncultured bacterium
Lineage: Bacteria
Description: partial 16S ribosomal RNA
Rfam family: Bacterial small subunit ribosomal RNA
Source: RNAcentral